This 72-nucleotide transfer RNA is filed under the name Oenococcus kitaharae. RNAcentral's name for it is "tRNA-Asn". It matches the Rfam family "tRNA". From Rfam's summary of the family: Transfer RNA (tRNA) molecules are approximately 80 nucleotides in length. Their secondary structure includes four short double-helical elements and three loops (D, anti-codon, and T loops). RNAcentral also lists the same sequence under 2 other names. The record is from RNAcentral. Lineage: Bacteria; Bacillati; Bacillota; Bacilli; Lactobacillales; Lactobacillaceae.
UGUCUAGUAGUUCAGUGGUAGAACGCCACACUGUUAAUGUGGAUGUCGCUGGUUCGAACCCAGCCUGGACAG